This 497-nucleotide ribosomal RNA is filed under the name uncultured bacterium. RNAcentral's name for it is "partial 16S ribosomal RNA". It matches the Rfam family "Bacterial small subunit ribosomal RNA", at positions 28 to 507 of the family's 1533-position model. The record is from RNAcentral.
GAUGAACGCUGGCGGUGUGCCUAAUACAUGCAAGUCGAGCGAACAGACGAGGAGCUUACUCCUCUGACGUUAGCGGCGGACGGGUGAGUAACACGUGGAUAACCUACCUAUAAGACUGGGAUAACUUCGGGAAACCGGAGCUAAUACCGGAUAACAUGUUGAACCGCAUGGUUCAACAGUGAAAGACGGUCUUGCUGUCACUUAUAGAUGGAUCCGCGUCGCAUUAGCUAGUUGGUAAGGUAACGGCUUACCAAGGCAACGAUGCGUAGCCGACCUGAGAGGGCGAUCGGCCACACUGGAACUGAGACACGGUCCAGACUCCUACGGGAGGCAGCAGUAGGGAAUCUUCCGCAAUGGGCGAAAGCCUGACGGAGCAACGCCGCGUGAGUGAAGAAGGUCUUCGGAUCGUAAAACUCUGUUAUUAGGGAAGAACAAAUGUGUAAGUAACUAUGCACGUCUUGACGGUACCUAAUCAGAAAGCCACGGCUAACUACGUG